Molecule: ribosomal RNA, 492 nt
Filed under: uncultured bacterium
Lineage: Bacteria
Description: partial 16S ribosomal RNA
Rfam family: Bacterial small subunit ribosomal RNA
Source: RNAcentral
AGUGAACGCUGGCGGUAGGCCUAACACAUGCAAGUCGAACGGCAGCACAGUAAGAGCUUGCUCUUACGGGUGGCGAGUGGCGGACGGGUGAGGAAUACAUCGGAAUCUACUUUUUCGUGGGGGAUAACGUAGGGAAACUUACGCUAAUACCGCAUACGACCUACAGGUGAAAGCAGGGGAUCUUCGGACCUUGCGCGAUUGAAUGAGCCGAUGUCGGAUUAGCUAGUUGGCGGGGUAAAGGCCCACCAAGGCGACGAUCCGUAACUGGUCUGAGAGGAUGAUCAGCCACACUGGAACUGAGACACGGUCCAGACUCCUACGGGAGGCAGCAGUGGGGAAUAUUGGACAAUGGGCGCAAGCCUGAUCCAGCCAUACCGCGUGGGUGAAGAAGGCCUUCGGGUUGUAAAGCCCUUUUGUUGGGAAAGAAAAGCAGCAGGUUAAUACCCCGCUGUUCUGACGGUACCCAAAGAAUAAGCACCGGCUAACUUCGUG